UGGACAACUCUGCUCUCCCUCCCUUAGGUCGAACAAGUACAAUGACCUAGCUCUCUCUCUGUCGACAAAGACGAUGUCGACGAAGACGGUGCUGUAGCUUCUCUUUCUCUGUAUUCGAUAUCAGAUCGAAGCUCCCAAUCUCUCUUUGCCUGCAUGCCAUAUCACCUCUCUAUAUCUUCUCUCUCUCAAAUUGUUGAUGUGGAGUCACCAUUAGGCGUUAGCAACCUCAUUCACACACGGCUAUUCACUUUGUAUUUUGCGUACAGGGAAACUAAAGGUUUGGAACCCUAAAAUUCAAUCUGUUGCCUUUUUCUUUCUCUUUCGCAUAGCUGAUUGUGAUUGUGAUUAGAUUUUGCGCUCUAGAAGCAACACCACAAUAGCAUAUUUUACCCUUUCAAACUGAAGUAUUCAGUCGAAUUUGGACACCACAACCAGCAAUUUAGAGGGACAAUUUCUUCGGAUUUGAGACUGAUAUGCCUCAAUUUCAUCAUAUUGCUGGAUGUAAGAUUUGGAGUGACGAUUUCUUCAGAUUUCAGAUAGCUACGCCUGAUGUCAUUUGAUCACCGAACCAAAGUAGGAUUUAGAGUGACGAUUUCGUUGGAUUGCAGACGGCUACACUUCAAUUUCAUCUAAUCGCUUAAUUGAAGUAGUUAGGAGUGACGGUUUUUUUCAAUAUUCCUGCGAACAACAGAGAAAUUGAAGGUUUGGAGGAGUAACUCAAGAGCAAGCCAGAGACUGAAGCUCGGAAUGGAGGGAAUUCCUUGGGAGAGGCUCAAUUUUACGGGAGAUGUAUACCGCGAGACGAGACUGAAGCACUACAAAAAUUACGAGAACCUCUUGUUCUCUCCUGAAGAGCUCGAAAAGAAAAGUGGAGAAGGGCCACAGCUUCUAUGAUUUUCAGUUCAAUACAAGGCUUGUCAAAUCAACAAUUGUGCAUUUCAGGUAGUGAACUCACAUCUGAUUUAUAUUAAUAAAUUUUUCUAUAGUUCUUGCCAAUGUUUUUCAGAGUGUGACUUAAGAUAUCUACAAAUUCAUAAUAGUUGCAUUGAAUCAAAAGUAAACUUGCCUGACCAAGCAAUAUUCUAAGUUAGAGUUGAAGGUCUAAAUAGAAUUGUUCCCGAAAUAAAUCUAAACUUCUGAACAGACAAAACUAUCUAUUAGGAGUGUCUGCCCUUCUUGGAUUUUUGUCCAUGCCCAUUUCUGUCUAUAGUACACUUCACCCAUCACAUGGAAAAAAAUAAUAAAACCACUCUCCUUAAUUUUAAAGAGGGUUUGUUGUCUACUUUAGGGCACUUGGUCUUCACACUUAUUUAAAAUUCUGCACAUAUAUUUAUUUAAUACAAUUAUACUAUAAUAAGUUCUUAAUUUUUUUGUGUUCUCUAAGCAAUAUGAUAUCCUUUAACUACAUUAGAUAAUGAACAGGUCCUGUUGUAGUUUAGGUAGUUAGUUAAAGCAAUAUUCACUUGUAUCUCAUAAAUGUAGAAAAUAAGUUACUCUUUCUUAAUACAGGAGAAACUGUUGAUGCCAAUAUUAAAGCUCCAUAUUCACGACAAAUGAAAAAAAGUUUCAUUUAGCGUUAAUGAUAGGGAUUUUUACAUAUAAAUGGAGUUAUGGAGCCAUAUUUACUCAUGGAUGGAGUCAAAGUCCUAUAUUUUCAUAAAAAUGAGUUUGACCUAAAUGAUGACAUGGCACAUGAAGUUUUACUGUUUAAAAUUUUUGUUACCUAAAAUGCCCUUCUCCCUAUUCCAAUGCAUUUAUCUUAUCACCCUUGUUCAGAAAACAUGGUACCUGGAGGCCAAAAAGUGGUACCUUCAGUUCAAAAAUGUGGUACCUUCAGAACAAAAGUGGUACCUUCGUAAAAGGGAAUUGUUUUUGCAAUUGAAAAUGACAUUGAACCCCACACCGCUAAUUAAGUUGCACAUUACAUCCAUAAACAGCUUCAUUAGUGCCAUGAAUAACACAAAUUAUUCUUCAAGCUAGCUAAGCGAGUGUUUAGAAAAUAUGGUACCUAAAGGCCAAAAAGUGGUAUCUUUAAUUCAAAAACGUGGUACAUUUAGAACAAAAGUGGUACCUUCGUAAAAGGAACUUAUUUUUGCAAUUGAAAAUGGUAUUAAACCUCACACCGUUAAUUAAGUUGCACAUUAGAUCUAUAAACUGCUGUUGAAAAAUUUAUAAACCUUCUUAUUAAAUAUAAGAGCCUAACAUGCAUGUAUUUAUUAAAUAGAAUAAUCAAAAUCCAUUACUUUUCAUUAAAUCAAAACCAUCAAGUGAAGUGCUAUGUCUACAAAAUACUUUAAGUCAUCACGAAUGUCAAAAAAGUUAUGAUCCAUCCAAUCUAAUAAAGUCAACAAAAAAUAAAAAACUAAAUCACUAAAUUUAAAGAAAGCAAUCAUCUUUUGCAAAAUAAGAACACAAUUAUUAAGUUUGAACAUUUAUUAGCCCCUACUCGUCCAUACAAAGUCUUGAUUGCAAUAUUAACUCCCACUCAUCCAUACAAAGUCUUGAUGGCAAGAAUCGAUCCUUCAAUCACACUGUCAAAAAAAAAAAAAAAAAAAAAAAAAAAAAGGUUACUAUAUUUAAUUGUAUCACAUUAACGAAAAAAUUAACCAACCUUAAAGAAGUAAGCGAAAUGGAAAAAGUAAAGGAGAGGAACUGAAAACGUGGACAAAUUUUCAGACUCUUAAACAAAAUGAAAAAAUAUAAUUAAAUGCAUAAGAUGAGGUAUUUCAGAAUUUCUAAACUGGGGCAUUUCAAAAUUUCAAUAACACAUCAGUAUAAUUAUAAUUGUAUGCAAAGAAAAAUAUAAUUCUAGACUGGGGCAUUCUAGAAUCUCAAUAACACAUUAAUCUCUUUAAGUUAUAAUGUAUAAGAUGUCUGUUUGAAUUCAUGAUAAUCAUUCUAUUCUUAUCAUACAAUUAAUAUAUAUAUAUAUAUAUAUAUAUAUAUAUAUAUAAGUAGCAUCCUACAAUUAAUUAGGACCUAGAUCUAUAUCAAAAUUCUAAAUGGUCUUCAUGUAUAAGAGGUCUAGAGACCAAAUUAUCUCCCUAUUAUCAUUGAAAAAUUCUAAAGAUUUAAUUAUGACCCAGAUCCAUAUCAAACAUGAUCUUUGGAUACCAUAAUUUUUUUAACAAUUGCAUUAUUGAAAUAGUUAUUCAAAAGUCCCAAACAGCCUUGCCGAUUAAAAUGGUGCGAAAAAAAAAAAUCUACCAUACCAACUAUUUAGAUGUAGUAUAUGAUAAUUAAGAAAUAUUUGUGUUAUUUAUGGCGUUAAUGAAGUUGUUUAUAGAUCUAAUGUGCAACUUAAUUAGUGGUGUGGGGUUUAAUACCAUUUUCAAUUGCAAAAUUAAGUUCCUUUUACGAAGAUACCACUUUUGUUCUAAAGGUAUCACGUUUUUGAAUUAAAGGUACCACUUUUUGGCCUCCAGGUACCAUGUUUUCUAAAUACUCGCUUAGCUAGCUUGGAGAAUAUUUUGUGUUAUUCAUGGCGCUAAUGGAGCUGUUUAUGGAUGUAAUGUGCAACUUAAUUAGCGGUGUGGGGUUUAAUGCCAUUUCAAUUGCAAAAAUAAGUCCCUUUUACGAAGGUACCACUUUUGUUUUAAAGGUACCACAUUUUUGAACUGAAGGUAUCACUUUUUGGUCUCCAGGUACCAUGUUUUCUAAACAAGGGUAAUAAGGUAAAUGCAUUAGAAUAGGAAGAAGGGUAUUUUAGGCAACAAAAAUUUUAAACAGUAAAACUUUAUGUGCCAUGUCAUCAUUUAGGCAAACUCAUUUUUGUGAAAAUAUAAGAUUUUGACUUCAUCCAUGAGUAAAUAUACCUCACUAACUCUAUUUAUAUGUAAAAAUCCCUUAAUGAUAUUCCACGUAAACUUUUUUGAAAGCCUUUUUUAUCCAUUGCGUACUCAUGCAACAUUAUCAUUCUGUGUUUCUUCAUCGCUGCAUUAAAAAAUAAAUAAAUAGAGGAAAAAAGAAAGCUUCAAAAAUUGUGUACUUGUUUAACCAAUGGUCUCAAUUGUCAGGUUCUACUUAGCUUUUUCUAGGUCCAUGGCUUAAUUUUAUUUGUGUUUUUCUGUUUCCGUACUGAUCAUGUUUAAUCCACAUGGUAGUCCAUGGCAAUGCAUUCUAUGCUUAAAAAGUUGAAUAUUUUUUUCCCUUGCAAAUUGUGUAUUGUGCUUACCCUAUGAACUUGUGUGUUUGGAUGGUUGUAGUGCAAUGCAUUCCCAAGUUGUAUCCUGUUACUCGGAUUUUCUUUCUUCUCUUUUCUCUGUUUUUGUUUCUUCUUUUUGUCUCUUGUGGUUUGAUUGUUGUUGCAGGUAGAGGAAAGAUCAUCAUUGUUUGUUUUGUAGAUUUUUGGAUGGCUCGUGCUACAAGACUUCAAGCCCUUUUUGUUUAAGAUGGUUUAAGUAGUGUAUGUUUAGGUCUUUGAACUCUUUGUUUAGGAAUCUAUAGUUCAUUUUUGUCUAAGAUCUUAGAAACAUUUUAUUUAAGAUACUAGCUUGUUUUGGUCCAAAUUAUUGGAGUUGAAAUUGUAUUAGAUGUCAAGAUUCAAUUUUUUACGCGAUGGGCUUUAUUAUGUAUGUUGUAAACAAUAAAUUUUUUGGUUGGUGUAAUUUAUGCAAUAUCAAGUAUUUAUUUGUUUGCAUAAUCAUGUUGAUGUGAUAAAUUUUUUUAUUUUAUAUUAUUUCUUUUGUUUAUAAUGUUAAUAAUAUACAGGUUUGCUACAAAUUUUUAUCUAUGUAGUCUAUUUUUGGUAUUUGCAACAAUAUAUAUUUUUGACUAUUAAAUUAUAUUUUAUUUUAUUAAUAAUAGAAUAGCCACAGAUAAACUUCGUGGCCUAUUUUAGAUAGUUGCCACGAUAUAUAUUCGUAGGCAAUUAAAAUUAUAGCCACGAAUAAAUUUUGUUGCCUAUUUUUGGGUAUUUGUCACGACAUAUAUUCAUGGGCAAUUAAAUUUAUAGUUACAAAUAAAUUUCGUGGGAAAAGACCUAUUCUACCAUGAUAAAUAUUUCGUUGCAAAAGGAUUGAAUUAGUUACGAUUAAUUCCUAUAUUGGGAUUGCUACUUGCCACGAAAGGAUUGUUAUUUAGCGACGAAAUAAUUUGUGACAAUAGAAGGUAUUUUACCACGAAUUCAAAUUUCUGACAAAAGGUCCACAAUAUUUAAUCUUAAAAAUCACUGUAUAAUGACUAUCAUAACAUUAUAAUAUUAUUACAUAUAAGUGAAUUCAUAAUCUAAUUCAUCUCUUGGUUAGACGAUGGAAUCUCUGAAUACAAUAUGAAAAAUGUUUUAUUAAUUUUUUUCCCCCCAAAAUAUUCCUUCAGGCGGUUUAAUUAUUUUAUAUUCCCGCCCAAAUAUAUUUUCCCUUUUUCUAUCACGGUACCCAAACGCUUUAUCACUUUUUCCAACUCAAGCCCUAAACCUUACCCAAGCACUUCCUGUGACAUCCUUAAACUGCACACAUUCAAAUAGUCGUGAUUCAGGCUUCGGUGUCGAAGCUCUUGAACAAUCAAGAGAGGGAACGCGAGAUGUGUACUCUAGCUAAUUGCUUGUGUGUUAGGGAUGGUAAUGGUGUUGGAUCCGUAGAAAUGAAUCAGAGUUUGAAGGAAUCUCUGAUCGGAGGGAGGUCGCAGCACCGGCGAGGUCUCAGUCUCAACGGAAUCUCCAAGGAUACUGAUGAGAACUUGGAUCUCUUCUCUAGGAAUCGCCGGAGUCUCUCCGUUGCUUCGUCCGAUGAAUCAGACGUUUUAGUGAAAUUGGGGAGACUUUCAGUUGGAUCAGCGAAACCCUACAAAAUAUAUAAUUACCAGACCAACUUCUUCUACUACUUCUUCCUCCGAGGACACCAAUUCAUGGGUCGUUCAUGCCUAGCUAGUCGCCGCCGGACUGCACUAGUGGCGGUGGCCGGGGCAUACGCUUCAUUCUCUCUCCAAGGAUUCACAAGAUUUCGAAGGCAGGUGAUCGGAAUUAUACCAGCACAGUACCUCCUCUUGAUUCCAAGGCAAACCCCUUGUUUCCAUCCUCGGCAAAGCCCAUGAUUCAGUUUGAUCUGCAGGUCUCUACAUCCAUGAAGGACCUGUGUCAUGAUGUUUUUGGGAUAUCAAAGGAAAAAAAAGAUCCAAGAGAUGUGAAAGGGAACCGAGGGACAUCUCAAACAACAAAAUUAAUGGUUCUAUUCCUUCUUCCCUUGGUGAUUUGGAGCAUCUUCUGAAACUGAACUUAAGCAGGAAUAAUUUGGUUGGCUAUAUACCAGUUGAGUUUGGUAAUCUAAGAAGCGUUAUGGAGAUGUAUGGAAUCUUUAAUUGCAAUUAUGGGUAUUAUUGCAUUUUCUUUGUCCAGUGUUCAACUUUGUUGUCAUGAUUUUCCAUUGUAGAGAUAUUUCAAAUAAUCACCUUUAUGGUCCCAUUCCUCAAGAACUCGGUCAGCUUCAAAAUGUCCUCAUGCUAUUGUUGGAUGAGCUCAUGAUACAAGAAUUCAAGCUCUUUUUGUUUAAGAUGGUUUAAGUAGUUUAUGUCCACAUCUUUGAACCAUUUAGGAUUCUAUACUUCAUUUUUGUCUAAGAUCUCAGAGCAUUCUAUUUAGCAUACUAGCUUUCUUUUGUCCAGAUUAUUGGAGUUGAAACUAUUUCAGAUUCUAAGACUUCUUUUUUAAUUUUUUAUUUUUAUACGAUAGGCUUUAUUGUGUAUGUUGUAAACAAUACUUUUUUUGGUUUGUGUGGCUUAUGCAAUAUUGAGUAUUUAUUUGUUUGCAUAA
Cornus florida is the source of this 6745-nucleotide long non-coding RNA. RefSeq lists it as uncharacterized. The record is from RefSeq and is a predicted model, not a curated record. Lineage: Eukaryota; Viridiplantae; Streptophyta; Magnoliopsida; Cornales; Cornaceae. The transcript is spliced from 8 exons.